GGGCCGUUAGCUCAGUUGGUAGAGCAGCUGACUCUUAAUCAGCGGGUCUCCGGUUCGAGCCCGGAACGGCCCACCA
Molecule: transfer RNA, 76 nt
Filed under: Binataceae bacterium (SeqCode)
Lineage: Bacteria; Candidatus Binatota; Binatia (SeqCode); Binatales (SeqCode); Binataceae (SeqCode)
Also listed under: 3 other names
Description: tRNA-Lys
Rfam family: tRNA
About the family: Transfer RNA (tRNA) molecules are approximately 80 nucleotides in length.
Source: RNAcentral